This 532-nucleotide ribosomal RNA is filed under the name uncultured bacterium. RNAcentral's name for it is "bacterial SSU rRNA". It matches the Rfam family "Bacterial small subunit ribosomal RNA", at positions 777 to 1308 of the family's 1533-position model. The record is from RNAcentral.
AAUAAUACCCGGGUAGUCCACGCCGUAAACGUUGGGCGCUAGAUGUGGGGACCUUUCCACGGUUUCCGUGUCGUAGCUAACGCAUUAAGCGCCCCGCCUGGGGAGUACGGCCGCAAGGCUAAAACUCAAAGGAAUUGACGGGGGCCCGCACAAGCGGCGGAGCAUGCGGAUUAAUUCGAUGCAACGCGAAGAACCUUACCAAGGCUUGACAUACACGAGAACGGGCCAGAAAUGGUCAACUCUUUGGACACUCGUGAACAGGUGGUGCAUGGUUGUCGUCAGCUCGUGUCGUGAGAUGUUGGGUUAAGUCCCGCAACGAGCGCAACCCUCGUCGCAUGUUGCCAGCACGUUAUGGUGGGGACUCAUGUGAGACUGCCGGGGUCAACUCGGAGGAAGGUGGGGAUGACGUCAAAUCAUCAUGCCCCUUAUGUCUUGGGCUUCACGCAUGCUACAAUGGCCGGUGCAAAGGGCUGCGAUGUCGUAAGGCGGAGCGAAUCCCAAAAAGCCGGUCUCAGUUCGGAUUGAGGUCUGC